RNAcentral lists this signal recognition particle RNA (87 nucleotides) under Vagococcus humatus. RNAcentral's name for it is "Bacterial small signal recognition particle RNA". It matches the Rfam family "Bacterial small signal recognition particle RNA". From Rfam's summary of the family: The signal recognition particle (SRP) is a universally conserved ribonucleoprotein involved in the co-translational targeting of proteins to membranes. The record is from Rfam by way of RNAcentral. Lineage: Bacteria; Bacillati; Bacillota; Bacilli; Lactobacillales; Enterococcaceae.
AGGCUAGGGCAAUGGUGGGCCUACUAAGCGUGUCAGGUCCGGAAGGAAGCAGCACUAUGUGGGUGCCAUCAUGUGCCUGAUUAAUAA